Molecule: non-coding RNA, 620 nt
Filed under: Streptomyces sp. NRRL B-1568
Lineage: Bacteria; Bacillati; Actinomycetota; Actinomycetes; Kitasatosporales; Streptomycetaceae
Description: bacterial LSU rRNA
Rfam family: Bacterial large subunit ribosomal RNA
Source: RNAcentral
UCGUGACUGCGUGCCUUUUGAAGAAUGAGCCUGCGAGUUUGCGGUGUGUUGCGAGGUUAACCCGUGUGGGGAAGCCGUAGCGAAAGCGAGUCCGAAUAGGGCGAUUGAGUAGCGCGCCCAAGACCCGAAGCGGAGUGAUCUAGCCAUGGGCAGGUUGAAGCGGAGGUAAGACUUCGUGGAGGACCGAACCCACCAGGGUUGAAAACCUGGGGGAUGACCUGUGGUUAGGGGUGAAAGGCCAAUCAAACUCCGUGAUAGCUGGUUCUCCCCGAAAUGCAUUUAGGUGCAGCGUCGUGUGUUUCUUGCCGGAGGUAGAGCACUGGAUAGGCGAUGGGCCCUACCGGGUUACUGACCUUAGCCAAACUCCGAAUGCCGGUAAGUGAGAGCGCGGCAGUGAGACUGUGGGGGAUAAGCUCCAUGGUCGAGAGGGAAACAGCCCAGAGCAUCGACUAAGGCCCCUAAGCGUACGCUAAGUGGGAAAGGAUGUGGAGUCGCAGAGACAACCAGGAGGUUGGCUUAGAAGCAGCCACCCUUGAAAGAGUGCGUAAUAGCUCACUGGUCAAGUGAUUCCGCGCCGACAAUGUAGCGGGGCUCAAGCGUACCGCCGAAGUCGUGUCAUU